AACUUAUCAAGAGAGGUUAAGGUACUGACCCACCAUUACACCUCAGCAACCAGUCAUUCAUGGCGCGGUGCUAAUCUCAUUAAGUAGCUAUCUAGGUGAUAAGAA
Molecule: non-coding RNA, 105 nt
Filed under: Virgibacillus necropolis
Lineage: Bacteria; Bacillati; Bacillota; Bacilli; Caryophanales; Bacillaceae
Description: SAM-I sequence
Rfam family: SAM riboswitch aptamer (S box leader)
About the family: The SAM riboswitch is found upstream of a number of genes which code for proteins involved in methionine or cysteine biosynthesis in Gram-positive bacteria. The SAM riboswitch acts at the level of transcription termination control.
Source: Rfam by way of RNAcentral